This 425-nucleotide ribosomal RNA is filed under the name uncultured prokaryote. RNAcentral describes it as "bacterial SSU rRNA". It matches the Rfam family "Bacterial small subunit ribosomal RNA", at positions 355 to 774 of the family's 1533-position model. The record is from RNAcentral.
UAACGAAUAUUGGGCAAUGGGCGCAAGCCUGACCCAGCGACGCCGCGUGCAGGAGGAAGUCCUUCGGGAUGUAAACUGCUGUCAGGGGCUAGCAAGCAAAGGGUGUUAACAGCAUCCGGCGUUGAGCCGCCCCAGAGGAAGCCACGACUAACUCUGUGCCAGCAGUCGCGGUAAGACAGAGGUGGCAAGCGUUGUUCGGAAUCACUGGGCUUAAAGCGCGUGUAGGCGGCUCGGAAAGUGUCGUGUGAAAUCCCAGGGCUCAACCCUGGAACUGCGCGGCAAACUCCCGGGCUUGAGGCCGGUAGAGGUGCCUGGAACUCUCGGUGGAGCGGUGAAAUGCGUAGAUAUCGAGAGGAACGCCGGAGGCGAAAGCGGGGCACUGGGCCGGUUCUGACGCUGAGACGCGAAAGCGUGGGGAGCAAACA